UACGUAGGUUGCGAGCGUUAAUCGGAUUUACUGGGCGUAAAGCGUGCGCAGGCGGCCCGUUAAGACAGGUGUGAAAUCCCUGGGCUCAACCUAGGAAUUGCGCUUGUGACUGGCGGGCUCGAGUACGGUAGAGGGGGGUGGAAUUCCUGGUGUAGCAGUGAAAUGCGUAGAGAUCAGGAGGAACACCGAUGGCGAAGGCAGCCCCCUGGGCCUGUACUGACGCUCAUGCACGAAAGCGUGGGGAGCAAACAGG
RNAcentral lists this ribosomal RNA (253 nucleotides) under uncultured microorganism. RNAcentral's name for it is "partial 16S ribosomal RNA". It matches the Rfam family "Bacterial small subunit ribosomal RNA", at positions 524 to 776 of the family's 1533-position model. The record is from RNAcentral.